Nerophis lumbriciformis (worm pipefish) is the source of this 296-nucleotide non-coding RNA. The record is from RefSeq and is a predicted model, not a curated record. NCBI's taxonomy places the organism in Eukaryota, Metazoa, Chordata, Actinopteri, Syngnathiformes, Syngnathidae.
AGAAGAGGAAGAAGGAAACAAUGCUUAAAGCAGCAGCGCCACUGGACGUAACUGUUUGACAGCUGUUCUGUGACUCUCAAUAAACGAGCUGGUUAAUGCCACCUCAACACAGGAUGGUGCCAAAGAGCUGUGGAAAAACAAGGUGGGACUGUCAAGGGAUUUCCAGACAAGAGGGUGAGAUUGAAAAAAGUACCUAAGUACACUGUAGCCUUGGAAUUUAAGAUACAAAAAUAUGAUGAAAUACGAACAAAACCUGAUUUAUUUAAACAUUUUUAAGUUAAUAUACAGGUGAAAAA